RNAcentral lists this ribosomal RNA (467 nucleotides) under uncultured bacterium. RNAcentral describes it as "partial 16S ribosomal RNA". It matches the Rfam family "Bacterial small subunit ribosomal RNA", at positions 28 to 506 of the family's 1533-position model. The record is from RNAcentral.
GACGAACGCUGGCGGCGUGCUUAACACAUGCAAGUCGAACGGAAAGGCCCUGCUUUUGUGGGGUGCUCGAGUGGCGAACGGGUGAGUAACACGUGAGUAACCUGCCCUUGACUUUGGGAUAACUUCAGGAAACUGGGGCUAAUACCGGAUAGGAGCUCCUGCUGCAUGGUGGGGGUUGGAAAGUUUCGGCGGUUGGGGAUGGACUCGCGGCUUAUCAGCUUGUUGGUGGGGUAGUGGCUUACCAAGGCUUUGACGGGUAGCCGGCCUGAGAGGGUGACCGGCCACAUUGGGACUGAGAUACGGCCCAGACUCCUACGGGAGGCAGCAGUGGGGAAUAUUGCACAAUGGGCGGAAGCCUGAUGCAGCAACGCCGCGUGCGGGAGGACGGCCUUCGGGUGGUAAACCGCUUUCGCCUGUGACGAAGCGUGAGGGACGGUAAUGGGUAAAGAAGCACCGGCUAACUACGG